AAAUAAUUAAUUAAACAACAUAGUCGCUUUAAAUACUACAAAAAUUACAAAAAAAAAAUGCUUUCACUUUAACUGACAAGUAUGGGAGUUUUAAUCACAGUUACAAACUCUAAUUUUUUUUUUUAUGGCAAUAGUGGACAAUAAAUUUGAUAAACAAACUAGAACAAUUUGACCAAUAUACAUAAAGAUCUAAGUUCAAGAGGAUGUAGAGUUGAUGGAAGAGAUAGAUGGCAAAGUCAAGAACAAAAGCCAAGAAGAACAACAACAAAGGCUCAGUGAUGACAUUAUUGCUAGAUCCAAGCUUUUGGAAGUUUGAGUGAAGCUUGAUCGCCAUGAAUGACUUCUUCAUAACCCACCUUCAAAACCCAGCUUAUGUUAACAGAUCGAUUCAUUGGAUGAGACAGUCGUGUAUGUGAGGGUAUGAGAGCAAAGAGACUUGUUGUUGUACUGUUGGGAAUGAGGCAGCUGCGUGGAGACGGGAGAAAACAACUGCUGCGGUGGAGCUUGUGGCAACGGCUGGCAGCUUGAAGACGAGAGAGAAUGAGUUGCGAUGAGGGAGAAAGGAAAGCAGUGUACUGAGAAAGAAAUGAAAGAGCCAGACGCGUGAACUUAGGACGCGUGAGGUACUCUUUGCACUCAUGCUCUUCUUUGUGUGAAUAUCGGCAUUGUUAUACGUAACCUUUUGUUUU
RNAcentral lists this long non-coding RNA (689 nucleotides) under Citrus sinensis (sweet orange). RNAcentral's name for it is "long non-coding RNA (CSIN_LNC001415)". Lineage: Eukaryota; Viridiplantae; Streptophyta; Magnoliopsida; Sapindales; Rutaceae. The record is from RNAcentral.